AUUGAACGCUGGCGGCAGGCCUAACACAUGCAAGUCGAGCGAGCGGCGGACGGGUGAGUAAUGUAUGGGGACUGCCCGAUAGAGGGGGAUAACUACUGGAAACGGUGGCUAAUACCCCAUACUGUCGGAUAACCCAUAUGGGAUUAGCUAGUAGGUAAGGUAAUGUCUUACCUAGGCGACGAUCCCUCGCUGGUCUGUGAGGAUGAUCAGCCACACUGGGACUGAGACAAGGCCCAGACGCCUACGGAGGCAGCAGGGGGGAAUAUUGCACAAUGGGCGCAAGCCUGAUGCAGCCAUGCCGCGUGUAUGAAGAAGGCCCUAGGGUUGUAAAGUAUUUGCAGUCGGGAGGCGUUACCGACAGAAGAAGCACCGGCUAACUCCGUGCCAGCAGCCGCGGUAAUAC
RNAcentral lists this ribosomal RNA (403 nucleotides) under uncultured bacterium. RNAcentral describes it as "partial 16S ribosomal RNA". It matches the Rfam family "Bacterial small subunit ribosomal RNA", at positions 30 to 526 of the family's 1533-position model. The record is from RNAcentral.